CUCCUCAAAAAGCAUCCAAGAUGCUAAGGCAUAUAGGGAAGGACUUGGACCACAGGAAAAAAGUGUGAUAUUUCGAAAAAUUAGGGUUUAAUGGCGGUGCAGAUCCCUACGAGUUGGCUCCCUCUUCUUGGAUCCAUGGUGAUUCUUCCUUCAGUUGCAUAUCCCGAUAUCGUUAACUGGUUUUCUCACCGAGCCCAUGCACAGCGGAAGACCUUAAAUCCUACAAUGGUUUGGAGGCCUAUAACCAGAUGGUGUGUGGAUGGGUGAGGGAGUGGCAGUACCAAGUCAUCAACGACCGUUGUGUUGUGAAAGCGAGAACAAUUGCAGUAGCAUCAGUGAUUGUCUGCCACCCAGUGGUUAAACAUAGAAAUCCAGUCCCUCAAUGUUAUAUUUCAAAGGAUUUUUCCAACCUGAAGUGAAACCAGAGGGACCUCAAUCUUCAUUCAUUUGGUGUGCCAAAUCCCUCAAAACAAAGACACACUGUAGCCUACACCGGGUUGCCCUUUUUACCCUAUUUACCCUCAUGCUGUUUUAGAAAUGACUCCAUUAUUGCAAUAGGGUAAUUUAUAUGACAAUUUAUUUGAUAAUUCCUGCCAUCACAUGAUGUCUUACACUACCGUUCAAAGGUUUGGGGUUUCUUAGAAAUGUCCUUAUUUUUGAAAGAAAAGCACUGUUUAAAUUAAUCAGAAAUACAGUCUAGACAUUGUUAAUGUGGUAAAUGACUAUUCUAGCUGGAAAUGGCUGAUUUUAAUGGAAUAUCCAGAGCCUUACAGAUAGAUAUAUAUCUCUAGGACUCUGGCACCACUUCUACUUCGGAGGUUCUUGAAGGAUGGCUGCUUUACCUGGAAGGAAGGAUGGCUUUACCAGCGGGACUCAUCGUCAGUUGUGUACCUCAGCAUCACAGGGUGUUUCGGCCAAUUAUCACAAUACACCCUCUGCUGAGGCAGGCCCACCACAGGUUGAUUAAGUGUGUGACCCGCAGUUAGCUGUUUGCCUUAGAAGCCCAGGUGGUGUCGCUCCUCUUCAGCCACAGCCAAUGGCUUGUCCUCUCGGCGGUGUUGGCCAGCUCUUUGAUGGCUUGAAUAAGAGCCAGUACAACACCAGUGUUCGAUUCCCCAAUUCAUUAUUAAGGCUUUUUAGCCUUUAGUCAAUAAUGAACAGAUGAUAGGAGAUGAGUGGGAGGAAGAUGGGGGGAGGGUUUGUGAAAUUACCUCAUGUCGAACUACUGGCUCCUGGAUGUGAAGUCAGGUCUUCCAGAAAUAACAUUUUUUUCUUUAAUCAAGUAGAAAUAAGAUAUUUUGCAGAAUAAUCUUGAAUUGUUAUUUUUACUAAUCUGAUGAUUUUCAUGUUUUCAGUAAUCUUGAAUUGUUAGUUUUACUAAUCUGGAGAUUUUCAUGUUUUCAGUAACUCGGAAUUGGCAUUGAGAUAAUUUAUUCAUAAUGAAAAUAAUUCAGUAAUAUCCACCAUAAAUGUUUGAACUAGAAAAUUGUUGUAAAACGAAUCAACAGUGUUGUAUGUCAACAGCAGCCCACGAGUAGAUCAUGCCAUUGGUGCAUAAGAAAAAUCUACACAAGAUUUCUAUUUCUAUUUCUACGUAUUGGCUACAUUUAAUAUAACACACAUAUAGCACAUGUCUAAUGUCCUCAUCCUCAUGUCACAAAUACAUGUAAAUGCAUAUGAAUACAACCUUUCAACCAAGCAUGGUUAAAACAAUGGAGGUAGAUGAAUAGCAUACAAUUAGAGGUGGAGGAUUAGGCCGAGUAGUACUUAGAUUAAAUUGAAGAGAGCACCUAACUUUUGGAAUAACUUUGACAUUAAAGUGAGUGCUGAUGAAUUUACAUAUGCAUGGACUUAUUCCUGAACCCACAAAUGUAUCUUAAGUUACUGUGCAGUGCUGUACAGUAGUAUAGUGUAUAGAAUAGUGCAGUAGUGAUCGCCGACAAUGAUGAGUAUAGUCCAGUGAAGAAUAUUACACUAUAUAGUGUAUAAUAAGUCCCUUUUCUAGGUUCUUUUUCUGGCUGUUAGAGAAUGUUGGGAUAGAUCUCUCCCUCUCAUGAUUGGGUCACUUCCUGGCUCUCACUCCUGUUCUUACUCACUGACCCUUAAAACACAAAUGUGUGUGUGUGUGUGUGUGUGUGUAUGUGUGACAGUUCAUAUAAUAUUAUACACCUCUGUUUUGUUGUAUGAGAUGCUGACACUUCUCUUGCUUGGAGCCAUGUUUCUUCUCCCGUGUGUGUAAUUGUAAUGUGUCAGGAGUAGUCACGGCGAUGCAGCGUCACCUGCUCCAGAGCAGCUCUCCGCCUUUCCCAGAAUUCCCUCGGAGGGGGGUACUGUCAAAGCCACCCGCAGGGUGAUUUCAUCAGGUCACAACAUUUUCAUAUGGCAGGCGAGGAAACGGAGAGGUCAAGAAUGAGGAGACGUGUUUCUGCGUGUGUGUAUGUGUGUGUGUGUGUGUGUGUGUGUGUGUAUGUGUAUGUGUGUGUGU
Long non-coding RNA from Alosa alosa (allis shad), 2485 nucleotides. RefSeq lists it as uncharacterized. The record is from RefSeq and is a predicted model, not a curated record. Lineage: Eukaryota; Metazoa; Chordata; Actinopteri; Clupeiformes; Clupeidae. The transcript is spliced from 3 exons.